CGCCUGUUUAUCAAAAACAUGUCCUUUUGUUUGAUUAUAUAAGGUCUGACSUGCCCAAUGAUUUUUGAAUGGCCGCGGUAUUUUAACUGUGCUAAGGUAGCAUAAUCAUUUGUCUUUUAAUUGGAGGCUGGAAUGAAUGGUUGGACAAAGUAUAAACUUUCUUUAAAUUAUUAUUAUGAACUUAAUUUUUAAGUUAAAAAGCUUAAAUUUUAUUGUAGGACGAGAAGACCCUAUAGAUCUUUAUUUGUGUGAUUGUUUUGUAAUUUAGGGUGUUUAUUUAUUUUUAUAUUCGUAUAAAUUUGAUUGGGGUGAUUUUAGAAUUUAAUUAACUUCUAAUUUGUAUUUUCAUUGAUUAGUGUUUAUAUGAUCCAUUAUUAUUGAUUAUAAGAUUAAGUUACCUUAGGGAUAACAGCGUAAUUUUUUCGGAGAGUUCAUAUCGAUGAACAAAGUUUGCGACCUCGAUGUUGGAUUAAAGUAAGUAAUGAGUGCAGAAGCCCAUUAACUAGGUCUGUUCGACCUUUAAUUUUUUACAUGAUCUGAGUUC
RNAcentral lists this ribosomal RNA (544 nucleotides) under Dicrotelini sp. UCR ENT 00002808. RNAcentral describes it as "partial 16S ribosomal RNA". It matches the Rfam family "Bacterial large subunit ribosomal RNA", at positions 1797 to 2612 of the family's 2925-position model. Lineage: Eukaryota; Metazoa; Arthropoda; Insecta; Hemiptera; Reduviidae. The record is from RNAcentral.